RNAcentral lists this ribosomal RNA (509 nucleotides) under uncultured Entrophospora. Its description in RNAcentral is "SSU rRNA". It matches the Rfam family "Eukaryotic small subunit ribosomal RNA", at positions 591 to 1092 of the family's 1831-position model. The record is from RNAcentral. Lineage: Eukaryota; Fungi; Glomeromycota; Glomeromycetes; Entrophosporales; Entrophosporaceae.
CCAACAGCGUAUAUUAAAGUUGUUGCAGUUAAAAAGCUCGUAGUUGAAUUGAGGGAUUGACGUGACGGUCGUGCCUUACGGGGUAUGAACUGUUGCUGUUGAUUUUUCUCACCUUCUGGAGAAACUUGAUGUCCUUAAUUGGGUGUCUUGCGGAUCCAGGACCUUUACCUUGAAAAAAUUAGAGUGUUUAAAGCAGGCAUUUUGCUCGAAUACAUUAGCAUGGAAUAAUAGAAUAGGACGGCAUGGUUCUAUUUUGUUGGUUUCUAGGAUCACCGUAAUGAUUAAUAGGGAUAGUUGGGGGCAUUAGUAUUAAAUGGUCAGAGGCGAAAUACUUGGAUUUGUUGAAGACUAAUUACUGCGAAAGCAUUUGCCAAGGAUGUUUUCAUUAAUCAAGAACGAAAGUUAGGGGAUCGAAGACGAUCAGAUACCGGCGUAGUCGUAACCAAUAAACUAUGCCGACUAGGAAUCAGACGAUGUUAAUUUUUUAAUGAUUCGUUUGGCACCUUACG